AUGAGUGCCUUUCUACUUCAUGCGGGUACAAUUCAGGAAAUUGAUAAGCGGUGUCGUGCUUUCUUCUGGGCCGGUGACGAUCACGUCAAUGGAGGUCAAUGUAAGGUUGCCUGGGACGAAGUAUGUGCCCCCAUCAGCAAAGGUGGGCUCUGUUUUCGUUGCUUGCGCAACCACAACACCUGCCUUCUCCUAAAAUCUUUGAACAAGCUCCAUUCUCUUGGCACUGGCUCCUGGGAAUCUUGGAUGGCAACCUCUUACGGUUGGGCAGGAGGCCACCACAUCGGAGAUUCAAGUAGGCUAGACACCCCAAUCUAGAAACACAUCACGUCUGGCCUCUCGUUUUUCCGCUCCAUUACCCAUGUCACGGUCGGCAAUGGGAUCGCCACCGCCUUCUGGCUUGAUCUUUGGCUCGGAAAUGAUACUCUCCACACACGCUUCCAAAGCCUCUUCUCUCAUGCUACGCGAACCAACGUCUCAGUCGCCUUUGUGCUCGCGGACCCGGACCUCCGUUUACCAUUACAGCCGCGCCUCUCCACCGCUGCUGCCAAUGAACUGACGAACCUGCGAGUCCUUUUAGCUUCUGUGAUCUUAACGCCGCAUGCCCCAGAUGCUCGAUUGUGCAGGAUGAACGACAAACCCUACUACUCGGACUCCUGCCCUUUUUGUUCGGCUACUGAAACUACAGCUCACAUGCUUCUUCAUUGCGUUGUUGCCUUAGAAGCGUGGACAACGGCAGACUCCCUGCUCAUCAGGCCGGCAGACUGCCCCUCGGUCAGCGAUACUAUGUGUCCUCUGCCUUCUUGCAAGGUUCGGAACACGGUUGUUCUGGCUAUGCUUUGAAAUCUCUGGAAAAGAAGGAAUGCAAAGGUUUUCAACAAUGAAGUGCAAACCCUUGAAUUUGUAUUCCGCCGAGCGGCCGAUGACAUCUUUCUGUGAGUGAACCGCUGCCACAACGAGGACCGUAAACAGCUCCUACUUGACUGGGACAUUAUGUUGGCCAGAAUCGAUGUAUCUUGA
This 1017-nucleotide ribosomal RNA is filed under the name Triticum aestivum (bread wheat). RNAcentral describes it as "partial small subunit ribosomal RNA". The record is from RNAcentral. Lineage: Eukaryota; Viridiplantae; Streptophyta; Magnoliopsida; Poales; Poaceae.